UCAGCUCUCUUUGCCUUUUGGCUUAGAUCAAGUGUAGUAUCUGUUCUUUUUAGUUUAAUCUCUAGAACGCCCCUACGGGGGCAUUUCUCUUGAUUAAACUAGUUUUUGGAACCAGGUCGAUGGCCUCUGAGCUCCGCUUACCGUCAUUGACCACAGUGUCGCCUGUAUUGCACUGUCUCGGGCUGAUGCGAACACCC
This 197-nucleotide small nuclear RNA is filed under the name Diplodia corticola. RNAcentral's name for it is "Botryosphaeria corticola U2 spliceosomal RNA". It matches the Rfam family "U2 spliceosomal RNA". Rfam says of the family: U2 is a small nuclear RNA (snRNA) component of the spliceosome (involved in pre-mRNA splicing). Complementary binding between U2 snRNA (in an area lying towards the 5' end but 3' to hairpin I) and the branchpoint sequence (BPS) of the intron results the bulging out of an unpaired adenosine, on the BPS, which initiates a nucleophilic attack at the intronic 5' splice site, thus starting the first of two transesterification reactions that mediate splicing. Lineage: Eukaryota; Fungi; Ascomycota; Dothideomycetes; Botryosphaeriales; Botryosphaeriaceae. The record is from Rfam by way of RNAcentral.